RNAcentral lists this ribosomal RNA (691 nucleotides) under Stenotrophomonas chelatiphaga. Its description in RNAcentral is "bacterial SSU rRNA". It matches the Rfam family "Bacterial small subunit ribosomal RNA", at positions 69 to 750 of the family's 1533-position model. Lineage: Bacteria; Pseudomonadati; Pseudomonadota; Gammaproteobacteria; Lysobacterales; Lysobacteraceae. The record is from RNAcentral.
GCACAGUAAGAGCUUGCUCUUAUGGGUGGCGAGUGGCGGACGGGUGAGGAAUACAUCGGAAUCUACUUUUUCGUGGGGGAUAACGUAGGGAAACUUACGCUAAUACCGCAUACGACCUUCGGGUGAAAGCAGGGGACCUUCGGGCCUUGCGCGAUUGAAUGAGCCGAUGUCGGAUUAGCUAGUUGGCGGGGUAAAGGCCCACCAAGGCGACGAUCCGUAGCUGGUCUGAGAGGAUGAUCAGCCACACUGGAACUGAGACACGGUCCAGACUCCUACGGGAGGCAGCAGUGGGGAAUAUUGGACAAUGGGCGCAAGCCUGAUCCAGCCAUACCGCGUGGGUGAAGAAGGCCUUCGGGUUGUAAAGCCCUUUUGUUGGGAAAGAAAAGCAGCGGGCUAAUACCUUGCUGUUCUGACGGUACCCAAAGAAUAAGCACCGGCUAACUUCGUGCCAGCAGCCGCGGUAAUACGAAGGGUGCAAGCGUUACUCGGAAUUACUGGGCGUAAAGCGUGCGUAGGUGGUCGUUUAAGUCUGUUGUGAAAGCCCUGGGCUCAACCUGGGAACUGCAGUGGAAACUGGACGACUAGAGUGUGGUAGAGGGUAGCGGAAUUCCCGGUGUAGCAGUGAAAUGCGUAGAGAUCGGGAGGAACAUCCAUGGCGAAGGCAGCUACCUGGACCAACACUGACACUGAG